RNAcentral lists this ribosomal RNA (468 nucleotides) under uncultured bacterium. Its description in RNAcentral is "partial 16S ribosomal RNA". It matches the Rfam family "Bacterial small subunit ribosomal RNA", at positions 28 to 507 of the family's 1533-position model. The record is from RNAcentral.
GACGAACGCUGGCGGCGUGCUUAACACAUGCAAGUCGAACGGAAAGGCCCUGCUUUUGUGGGGUGCUCGAGUGGCGAACGGGUGAGUAACACGUGAGUAACCUGCCCUUGACUUUGGGAUAACUUCAGGAAACUGGGGCUAAUACCGGAUAGGAGCUCCUGCUGCAUGGUGGGGGUUGGAAAGUUUCGGCGGUUGGGGAUGGACUCGCGGCUUAUCAGCUUGUUGGUGGGGUAGUGGCUUACCAAGGCCUUGACGGGUAGCCGGCCUGAGAGGGUGACCGGCGACAUUGGGACUGAGAUACGGCCCAGACUCCUACGGGAGGCAGCAGUGGGGAAUAUUGCACAAUGGGCGGAAGCCUGAUGCAGCAACGCCGCGUGCGGGAUGACGGCCUUCGGGUUGUAAACCGCUUUCGCCUGUGACGAAGCGUGAGUGACGGUAAUGGGUAAAGAAGCGCCGGCUAACUACGUG